This 762-nucleotide long non-coding RNA is filed under the name Actinidia chinensis (golden kiwifruit). RNAcentral describes it as "long non-coding RNA (ACHI_LNC001775)". The record is from RNAcentral. Lineage: Eukaryota; Viridiplantae; Streptophyta; Magnoliopsida; Ericales; Actinidiaceae.
ACAAUUUCAUGAUGGAUUCCUCUCAAAACCUCAAUGUGAGAGGGAAAAAAAAGGAGCCUAUUUCUAUGUUACAACGAAAAGAAUCAGGUUUAAAUGUAAACUACAAGGUUAGAUCUCUGUACAUGGUUUAUGGUACAUGGAGUGGUUGCGUUUUACAGUCCCGAGUGCUCUGACGCUGAAAUGCCAAAUAAAUGCUGCAAAACCAAAAUUCUGCUUAUGGUAUCGACGGACUGACCCAGUAUCGCCAAAUUCUUCUUCCUUGUAUGAACUUUGCAAGGGGCAGAUCCAUUUCUCCAAAAAUUAAAAGUUAUAUGGCGAACAUCCCCCAUUUGUUCUCUGACAGAGAAUAGCAAUAAUCACUGAUUAUUUGUUAGCAUUUCGAAUAUCCGUUGUGAUAUUCCAUGCGAUAGGUCGGUAAUAAUCUGAGUAAUGAACUAGCAUUCGCUCCGGCACAUACUGCUAGCUGUUCAAAGAUACGGUUCAAUGUCUGCAAACCUCAAGAAGGAGCCCUCUCAAAUCAUUAUCUUUACUUUUUUAGUUUUCUUGCUAAGCCAAAAAGGGCAGGCGCGACCAACCAUAGCAAUUCUCCCUGGGUGUGACAUAGGAGCUCCUACCCACUGGGACCCAGAACUAGAAGUGGACCCACCAGACAGGGCGAGCCGUUGCCUGACACCAUAACGUACAACAAUACUGGAGAGAAGGGCGCUCCUUUGUCUGUUUCCAAAGAAGUGUCCUCACACCAUUCAGUAACCAGCCUGGCAA